Molecule: RNA transcript, 3976 nt
Organism: Mus musculus (house mouse)
Lineage: Eukaryota; Metazoa; Chordata; Mammalia; Rodentia; Muridae
Gene: Zfp941
Gene name: zinc finger protein 941
Exons: 4
Source: RefSeq, marked validated
CUCUCAAAACCUCGCGUGCUUUCGCUGGAGCUGGCCAUCUUUGGCACCUUUGGGAGCUCCUGCUGUUCUGCAGCAGAGGCACUGACGUUGUUAGGUGCUUUGUCAUCCUGUGAUCUGGUCCCAGAGGCACGCGUAGGGGCCCGGGAUACUAUAGAAGCGAGGAGAUGGAGCCAAUGACAUUUGAUGAUGUGGCCAUUAUUUUUUCUCCAGAGGAGUGGGAAUGUCUGGACUCUGCUCAGCGGGACUUAUACAGGGAUGUAAUGGUGGAGAAUUGCAGAAACCUGCUGUCUGUGGAGGCAUCCCGUCAUGGUACCAAAGGCUUUUCAUCAAAGAAGGACAUGAAGCGUUUCUUCCAAGAAGAGUUAAGGAGAAGACUCAGCAAGUGUGGCGCUGACAUUUUCCAUCCGAGGAAACAGUGGGAGAGUGAGAGGAAGACGGAAAGUCAAAAAGUGCUGUGCAGUAGACCGUGUGUGACAGCUGACAGUGGUACAGAGAAAAGUGUCUCUGCCAACAGAGAUCAAGGACAGGAAAUAUCUCAGAAAAGGUCUCCCGUCGUGGCAGUGACUCAAAAAGAGCCCCACCUUUCAGUCAGCAAACAUUCCCAGCCACAUUUGAAACUUACCUUUCCUCUGAAAGGAAAGCGGCAAUGUCCGAAAGGGAGCCGACUUCACGACACGACCAGUAAGGUGAUCGAUUUAAAAAGGAGCACUGGACUGAACUCUUCCUCAAACAUUUCUGUAGCUAGAUUAGAAUAUAAACAUAUUUCUAAAUGUGAUCAGUUAGAGAGCUCUUUUACAAAAAAGCCAUCGCUUUGUAGUAAACAAACAACUUGUGUCAAACUACACAGUGUCAAUGAACGUGGGCAGAAACUUUCUCGUCCCUCACUCUUAAAUAAAAAAAAAGGCACAACGAUUUGGGACGCGAAGAGGGGAGCAGAGAGCGUGUGCAAGGAGACUUCUCAGACCGUUCGCCAGAGCGGUAUCCUGAAUAACUCCCAGGAUUCCUCUACUGGAGAGAAAACUUAUGAAUGUACGAAGACACACAAAAACUUCAGCGGUGGUUCAGCUCAUGGUAAGCGGGCUCCUUCUCUAGGGAAUGUUUUUAGAGGGAACAAAUGUGGGGAUGUCAGUCAUCAGAGCUUAAAAGAUCUUCAGAGUUCCCACCUUCAAGAUGAGGCUUACAAGUGUGAGGGAUGUGUCCUGACUUUUCGUCAAAAAUCAGAUCUCCUAGAACACCAGAAAACUCAUGGGAGAGCCAAAUCCUACAAAUGUGGAGAGUGUGGUAAAGCUUUUAGCAGUUGUUCAGACCUUAAUGUACAUCAGAGAAGUCAUGAUGGAGAGAAUCCCCAUGAGUGUAAAGAGUGUGGCAGAGCCUUUGCUAGUGGUAGGGCUUUAGCUCGCCACCAACACACUCAUACAGGAAAGAAAUCUUAUAUCUGUGAAGAGUGUGGCAAAAACUUUAAGAAGGGUUCAAACCUUAAUCAACAUCUAAGGAUUCACACUGGAGAGAAACCUUUCAAAUGUGAGGACUGUGGCCUAGCUUUUAAUCAAAGCUCCCAUCUUGCUAAGCACCAGAGAAUUUACGCUGGAGAAUGUGGUAGAUCCUUUGUCAAGUGUUCCACCAGCAGACGUUGCCAUAGCAUUCGUCCUGGAGCGAAGCCCCACAAGUGCAAGCAGUGUGGGAAAACCUUCGUUGAUAUUUCAAAGCUUACUCAACACCAAAACGUCCACACUGGCGAGAAACCGUUCAAGUGUAACGAGUGCGGCAAAGCCUUUAACAGUGGGUUAAGCCUGAAACAACAUCAAGUAGUUCACACUGGAGAGAAGCCCUACAAGUGUAAAGAGUGCGAGAAAGCCUUCACGCAGAUUGCAAAGCUUACAGAGCACCAGCGAGUUCAUACUGGAGAGAAGCCCUAUGAGUGCAAGGAAUGUGGCAAAGCCUUUCGCAAUUUUUCAGCGUUCAAUUACCACCACAGAACUCAUACAGGAGAGAAGCCCUAUGAGUGCAAGGAAUGUGGCAAAGCUUUUACCAAAAGUUCAGAUCUCAAAAGACAUCACAGAAUUCACAGUGGAGAGAAACCUUACAAAUGUAACGAGUGUGGCAAAGCCUUUGCCAUGAAUGUAAGUCUGAGAGAGCAUCAGAGGGUGCAUUCUAGAGAGAAACCCUACAAACGUGAUUAGUGCAGCAAAGCCUUCAACCACUGUUCACACCUCACACUGCACCAGAGAAUUCACACCGGAGAGAAGCCCUACACGUGUGAAGCCUGCGGCAAAGCCUUUUCCAGGUGGUCAGGCCUCAAAUACCAUAACAGAACUCAUACUGGAGAGAAGUGUUCCUAAUGCAAAGACUAUGGCAAGCUGUGUGUGUGUGCACAUGUGUGGACACAUGUCACUAUGUGUGGAAGGCUGAGGGUUUCUCUAUGUAGCACUGGUUGUCUUGGAGCUCACUCUGUAGAUUAGGCUGGCCUUGAACUCACAGAGAUCUGCCUGCUUCCACCACCCAAGUGCUGGGAUUAAACAUGUGCACUGACAACAACCAGCAAAAGAUGGAUUUUUUUUUUCCUUUUGUAUUCUGUCAAGAUACAUUUUUUUUAAGUUCAAACUUCCUCUUCAUGGAAGCAAAAACCUAUUACUUGCACUUAAAUUAAUGUAUCUUGUUUGACUAAUUCUGUAGAGCUUUUAGCCUUAGUUUAUUUCCAAGAUUUUAUAAUACUCUGAUUAGAGUGUGUGUGUGUGUGUGUGUGUGAGAGAGAGAGAGAGAGAGAGAGAGAGAGGGAGAGAGAGAAAGAGAAAGAGAAGGGGGUGGGCAUACAGAGGAGAAGGAAAGAGGUAUGGAAUUGUGCAUGUGUGAGUGAAUUGUUCUGGCAUGGGCAUUAGACUACUGGAGGCUCCAGGUAGCAUGUUGACAGCGUUGUACCAGGUAAGCAGAUAUCUCUAAUAAUCAUUUUCUUAUUUUCAUUAAAGCUUAAAAUUAUUGCUGAAACAGUAAUUAUGGGAGAGAUAGUAUAUAGACUUGAUUUCUGAGUCUUCAGUGGUUGUACAAUUUUAACCUCUAUUUUUAUAUGUUAUGCUUUGAGUCCUAUGAUGUACACUAAUUUUGGGUUUGUGUUACAUUGAGAUAUAUAGCUAUUAUAAUAUAAUGAUUAAUCUUAGGACUAAGCAACCCAUGGAAGAGAUAAACAGCUCGUGCAUGUCUUUGAGGAUGGGUUUGGUGCUUACCUAUCUUGAUACGGUAAUUACUGACACGAAAGAAAAUGCAAAUGACUUCCCACUAUGGUUCCUUCCAGCCUCCUGUAAUCCGAGGAAACAAUGGAGACCUCAUCUUCCUGAAGUCUGUGUGGGAUAACUGCGUGUAACCCAGAGGCUUAACCCUAGCUUUCCAAAGGUCCCGAAUUCCACAAGAAAGACAGUCUCCUCUCCGUUCUUCACAGAUGCCAUUUUGAUUCUGUGAAGUCCUCAUCUUUAGUCCCAAUGGGCAGUGAAAUAAUUUUUCACUUGUAACAGCCCCAUCUCUCUUCUAAAGGGGUUAGAGUUCUAAUAACUGGUGAUUCAUCUAUCUAAUUUAUUUGCUAAGAGGAUUGAAUGAACUGCCCUUGGUUCUCAGUAUACUUUGCCAGUGCUCAGUUCUGUGAGAGAAGUACAGAAGGCAGGGCCUAUGCGUUCCAUCUGUCUCCUGACACUUAAAGUGAGAGAGUGUGGGGGAGUGUGGGGGAUGUGAGGGAGGGUCAGCAGACAGGCACUUUAAGAGAGUGGGCACAGAUUUGUGGGGUACUGGGGCCAUGGCCCUUCCAGAGAUCAGGCUAGCAGUCCGAGGACUUUUUACUGAUUGGCAAUUUCUCCUAAUUUAUUUCUGACAUUUCACAUUUCUGCCUGGGCUAGAGCACACUACAGCUCUGGGCUGUCGUCUUUGAGUCCAUUCUGUAUUUUCUACUGAGUUCUGGGUGAACUUGAAGGAAAAUAAAGAGUUGGACAGGGGA